RNAcentral lists this ribosomal RNA (301 nucleotides) under uncultured bacterium. RNAcentral's name for it is "partial 16S ribosomal RNA". It matches the Rfam family "Bacterial small subunit ribosomal RNA", at positions 509 to 809 of the family's 1533-position model. The record is from RNAcentral.
CAGUCGCCGCGGUAACACGGAGGGGGCUAGCGUUGUUCGGAAUUACUGGGCGUAAAGCGCACGUAGGCGGCUUGGUAAGUUAGAGGUGAAAGCCCGGAGCUCAACUCCGGAAUUGCCUUUAAGACUGCCGAGCUAGUAGGUGAGAGAGGUAAGUGGAAUUCCGAGUGUAGAGGUGAAAUUCGUAGAUAUUCGGAAGAACACCAGUGGCGAAGGCGGCUUACUGGCUCAUUCUAGACGCUGAGGUGCGAAAGCGUGGGGAGCAAACAGGAUUAGAGACCCCCGUAGUCCCUGUCUCUUAUAA